UGGGGAAUAUUGGGCAAUGGGGGAAACCCUGACCCAGCAACGCCGCGUGAAGGAAGAAGGCCCUCGGGUUGUAAACUUCUUUUACCAGGGACGAAGGACGUGACGGUACCUGGAGAAAAAGCAACGGCUAAAUACGUGCCAGCAGCCGCGGUAAUACGUAUGGUGCAAGCGUUAUCCGGAUUUACUGGGUGUAAAGGGAGCGCAGACGGCAUGGCAAGCCAGAUGUGAAAGGUGGGGGCUCAACCCCCAAGCUGCAUUUGGAACUGUCAAGCUAGAGUAUCGGAGAGGUAAGUGGAAUUCCUAGUGUAGCGGUGAAAUGCGUAGAUAUUAGGAGGAACACCAGUGGCGAAGGCGGCUUACUGGACGAUAACUGACGUUGAGGCUCGAAAGCGUGGGGAGCAAACAGGAUUAGAUACCCUGGUAGU
RNAcentral lists this ribosomal RNA (425 nucleotides) under uncultured Lactonifactor sp. RNAcentral describes it as "bacterial SSU rRNA". It matches the Rfam family "Bacterial small subunit ribosomal RNA", at positions 355 to 794 of the family's 1533-position model. Lineage: Bacteria; Bacillati; Bacillota; Clostridia; Eubacteriales; Clostridiaceae. The record is from RNAcentral.